RNAcentral lists this transfer RNA (76 nucleotides) under Proteomonas sulcata. It matches the Rfam family "tRNA". Rfam says of the family: Transfer RNA (tRNA) molecules are approximately 80 nucleotides in length. Their secondary structure includes four short double-helical elements and three loops (D, anti-codon, and T loops). Lineage: Eukaryota; Cryptophyceae; Pyrenomonadales; Geminigeraceae. The record is from RNAcentral.
UACUUGGCCGAGUGGUUAAGGCGAUAGACUUGAAAUCUAUUAGGUAUUCCUGCACAGGUUCGAAUCCUGUAGUAUG